This 392-nucleotide ribosomal RNA is filed under the name uncultured bacterium. Its description in RNAcentral is "bacterial SSU rRNA". It matches the Rfam family "Bacterial small subunit ribosomal RNA", at positions 29 to 408 of the family's 1533-position model. The record is from RNAcentral.
AAUGAACGCUGGCGGCGCGCCUAAUACAUGCAAGUCGAGCGAGAAGACGUAGCAAUACGUUUGUAAAGCGGCGAACGGGUGAGGAAUACAUGGGUAACCUACCCUCGAGGUGGGGAAUAACUAGCCGAAAGGUUAGCUAAUACCGCGUACGCUUCUUGGACUUCGGUUCAGGGAGGAAAGCGAUGCCGAGGGUAUCGCGCUCUUGGAUGGGCUCAUGUCCUAUCAGCUUGUUGGNGAGGUAACGGCUCACCAAGGCUUCGACGGGUAGCUGGUCUGAGAGGACGAUCAGCCACACUGGCACUGCGACACGGGCCAGACUCCUACGGGAGCAGCAGUAAGGAAUAUUGCGCAAGUGGGACGAAAGCCUGACGCAGCGACGCCGCGGUGGGGGA